AUUGAACGCUGGCGGCAGGCCUAACACAUGCAAGUCGAGCGGAUGACGGGAGCUUGCUCCUUGAUUCAGCGGCGGACGGGUGAGUAAUGCCUAGGAAUCUGCCUGGUAGUGGGGGACAACGUUUCGAAAGGAACGCUAAUACCGCAUACGUCCUACGGGAGAAAGCAGGGGACCUUCGGGCCUUGCGCUAUCAGAUGAGCCAAGGUCGGAUUAGCUAGUAGGUGAGGUAAUGGCUCACCUAGGCGACGAUCCGUAACUGGUCUGAGAGGAUGAUCAGUCACACUGGAACUGAGACACGGUCCAGACUCCUACGGGAGGCAGCAGUGGGGAAUAUUGGACAAUGGGCGAAAGCCUGAUCCAGCCAUGCCGCGUGUGUGAAGAAGGUCUUCGGAUUGUAAAGCACUUUAAGUUGGGAGGAAGGGUUGUACGUUAAUACCGUGCAAUUUUGACGUUACCGACAGAAUAAGCACCGGCUAACUCUGUGCCAGCCGCCGCGGUAA
This 500-nucleotide ribosomal RNA is filed under the name uncultured bacterium. RNAcentral's name for it is "partial 16S ribosomal RNA". It matches the Rfam family "Bacterial small subunit ribosomal RNA", at positions 30 to 523 of the family's 1533-position model. The record is from RNAcentral.